GACGAACGCUGGCGGCGUGCUUAACACAUGCAAGUCGAACGGUGAGGCGCUGUUUUUGUGGGGGGGUGUGGAGGCGAGGGGAUGGGUAGAGCGAGAGUACAGUGACCUGGACUUUGGGAUUGGUUCAGGAAACGGGGGCUAAUACAGUAUGGGAGCUUCUGGUGCUUUGGGGUGGUUGGUCAGGUGCGGCGGUUGGGGAGGUGGUCGCGGCGUAUGCGGUUGUUGGUGGGGUUGUUGGGUGGCUAGGCUUCGACGGGGGGGCGGGCCGAGAGGGUGACCGGCCACAUUGGGACUGAGAUACGGCACAGACUCCGCGGGGAGGGAGCAGUGGGGAAUAUUGCACAAUGGGCGGCAGCCGGAUGCAGCAACGCCGCGUGCGGUGUGACGGCCUUCGGGUUGUAAACCGCUGUCGCCUGUGACGAAGCGUGAGUGACGGUAGUGGGUAAAGAAGCACCGGCUAACUACGUG
RNAcentral lists this ribosomal RNA (468 nucleotides) under uncultured bacterium. RNAcentral describes it as "partial 16S ribosomal RNA". It matches the Rfam family "Bacterial small subunit ribosomal RNA", at positions 28 to 507 of the family's 1533-position model. The record is from RNAcentral.